This 317-nucleotide signal recognition particle RNA is filed under the name Methanobacteriota archaeon. Its description in RNAcentral is "Euryarchaeota archaeon signal recognition particle sRNA". It matches the Rfam family "Archaeal signal recognition particle RNA". The record is from RNAcentral. Lineage: Archaea; Methanobacteriati; Methanobacteriota. RNAcentral also lists the same sequence under 1 other name.
UGGCAGGCUAGCCCGGGUAGUUAGGCGUUACCUGUAACCCGAAACCGCCGAUAUGCGGGGGGCGAAGCCAAUGGAAGAUGUUAUCAAUUACCUCUUCAACCUGUGGAUUUGACUGAGAAGUUCCGUCCUAUGGGGAUAACGUUAUUAUAGAGGCUUUCCUGAAGGAAUGUCAUUAUAAUUUAAUUAAGAGAAUCGGUCCAGGCCCGGAAGGGAGCAGACUUACCUUAAGCAAUUAUCGCUCAUGGGGAAGCGGGAUGGAGGAUUAACUACAGAUCAUUGAGUGGUAUGAGGUGCAACAACCAAAGGUGUGUCUGCCA